RNAcentral lists this long non-coding RNA (2484 nucleotides) under Homo sapiens (human). RNAcentral's name for it is "HSALNT0284874". The record is from RNAcentral. Lineage: Eukaryota; Metazoa; Chordata; Mammalia; Primates; Hominidae.
GUAUGUUUUCUCAGGGAGUUAUCUGAAGAAUGAAGGUGUUUUGCUUUAAGGGAUAGGCUGGGGAUGGAGGAGCGGGUUGUGCAUAGUCAUUUUCAGGUGUGGAAGACAAGCCAGUGCUACGCGGUUGCCAUAGUAACCUGACGUCAUAUUAGCGACGGUGACGACUUUUUAUUGAGACCAAUUUGGCCUGGGGAGAACCGCCUUCAGGCGUUUGGACUCAGUGGAGGUUGUGAGUGCCCAGCAGUGUGGCCUGAAUCUCCGUGGGGUUUAGGGAGACGAAAGGACCCCAGAUCGACGUCCCCUCGUUCCCACUUUGGGGAUCGGCGCUCUGGCUGUUUCGUGAAGGAGAGAGAGGUUGAUUCCAUACCCUGGCUAUUGUGAAUAAUGCUGCAGUGAACAUGGGAGUACAUACAUCUGUUUGAGGAACUCAGAGUGGUUUUCCAGAUGGGAAUCACAUUGCUCUCUGUCCCUGAGAUCUUGCUGGAGACAGGGCUACUCAGUCCCUCUUUGCCAGAUUGAUACUGGAAAAGCAGUUUCUAUUGAGCCCCCAAAUGAAGAGUGAGUGCAGAUGAAGAGGAGGCAGGACUCACAAGCCCUUGAACUUUAUUCCAGAUCUGUUAGCACCUACAGGACCCUGCACCAGGAUUUCAUCUGUACUAUCAGCUUCUUCAAAGAGAGAGAGGUUGUUGAAUUGAUAUUGGAAAAGCAGUUUCCCAUUGAGUCUCAAAUGAAGAGAGUGCAGAUGAAGAGGAGGUAGGAGUCACAAGCCCUUGACCCUCAUGCUAGACCCAUUACCACCCACAGGACCUUGCAGUGGGAUUUCAUCUGCACCAUCAGCUUCUUCAGAGAGAGAGGUUGUUGACUCUUCAUGUGGAUGUCUGAGCUCAUAUCAGGUGUCUGAAAGAGGCAGAUUCUGAGGAUUUGGGUCAUGAUGGCUGCCAAAGCUUCUACUCCUGACUUAAAGGGCAACAAUCCUAGGAGACCACCAGCACUUACAUCCCUGGUAGGACAUGACACCUGCUUAUGGCUCAGAAGUGACAAAAGAGAAUUAUCAGGAUGGCAGUCCUUAUAACCAGAUGCUUAUCAACAUUCUUCACUACAUUCUGAAGAUGAAUUUCUACAAGGGAAAUUGUUUAUAUUUGUUGUUGGGGAUAGAUAAGGAAAGAAGAAAAAGGCUCUGGUGAGAAACCCAUUGUACCUUCUGGAUAUGAUCACUACCCAAUUUUAUCAGUGUCAUUGAUCACUAACCCAGUGCCUCGUAUGGUGCCAGGCACAGAGUUACUCCAAGAAUGUACAAUAAUGGCUGGAUUCUCUUUCUCCCUGUGCAACUCUUCAUGCAUGUGACUGAACUUAUAUUAAGUGUCUGAAGGAGGUUCGUUCUGAGGAUCUGGGACAUGAUGGGUGCUGAAGCUUCUACUCAAGAUUUGAAGGGCAGCUGUCCUCAGGAGACCCCUGGCACUUCCCUCCAUGGUGGGAUGUGAUGCCUGAUUCCAGUGAGUUCAUAGAGCUGAACAAAAGUACGUUGUGGAAUAGCUCCUGUGAGGUUCACAACAUAGUCCGGAAGAUGAGAAACUACUUUUUUUAGUAACCUGGAUUCCCAUCUAAGAGAUGCCUUACUUUAUCGUAAAGCAAUGAGUUGUUCACUUGAGGAGGGAACUUCAUGUUUAACAUGUAUUUGCAACAAAUUUACAUACAUUUUCUGCCUGUAUGAAUAGUUGUCAGUGAUGCCCAUGAAUUUCUCAGAUGGAUGUUGAAGUAUACAGUUAGAAGGUUAGAAGAUCUUCCUAGCAAUCUGUGAUUACGGUAUGCAUUCUUCCAUGGUUUCUACGUUUUUGUCUAUUCUAUAAUGAAAUUUUCUAAGAAGCCAGAAAUUAAUUAAGUGCUACCUAAAAAUAUCAAAAUGUCAGGUACAAGAAUUUGGCAUUUUCAAAAUUAGUAAUUACAAUGUAAGUUUGCCCUAUUAUAAUGAUACCCAGCUAUGUCCAGUAACAUAACUAGAUUGUUCUGAAUACCGUUAUUAUUUCCCAAUAAUACAAACAUCACAAUUUCAGUUCUGUAGUACCUGGCCUACCUACCCUUCCCACUGCCUUGCCCCAGGUAAACACAGCAUGCCUGUCACUAUACAUUAUUUUACAUGCCUGGAAAUAUAUUUAAAUGGAAUCAUAGAGGUGGUUUCUUUUUUUUUUUUUUAUCAACACCUGGCUUUUUUCAUUCACUCCACUUAUUUUUAUAUUUAUCCAUUUUAUUGCAUUUAUCUAUUGAUAUACUUCAUUCUUUUUGAUUGCUAAAUACUAUUGCGGUAUACAACCACACUAAACAUUUUAUUAUCCAUCCAUUUGUCGAUGGACAUUUUGGUUGUUUCUCAUUUGGGGCUCUUGUAAAUAAAGCUGCUAUGAACAUUUGUGAAUAAGUCUUUUUGUGAAAAUAUGCAUUCUCAUUCAAGGGUCAAUACUUAGGAGUUCAAUCUCUGGAUCAUGUGGUAGA